Molecule: ribosomal RNA, 117 nt
Filed under: Sinocyclocheilus rhinocerous
Lineage: Eukaryota; Metazoa; Chordata; Actinopteri; Cypriniformes; Cyprinidae
Source: RNAcentral
UGCCACAGCCAUAUCACCCUGUAGCCCAAGACUGGUUGCCCACUGAAGCUAAGCAGGGUUGAACCUGGUCAGUACCUGGAUGGGAGACCUCCUGGGAAAACUAGGUUGCUGCUGGAU